RNAcentral lists this ribosomal RNA (402 nucleotides) under bacterium. RNAcentral's name for it is "partial 16S ribosomal RNA". It matches the Rfam family "Bacterial small subunit ribosomal RNA", at positions 355 to 776 of the family's 1533-position model. The record is from RNAcentral.
UGGGGAAUUUUGCACAAUGGGGGAAACCCUGAUGCAGCGACGCCGCGUGAUUUAGAAGGCCUUCGGGUUGUAAAAAUCUUUUCUAUGGGAAGAAAAUGACAGUACCAUAGGAAUAAGGACCGGCUAAUUACGUGCCAGCAGCCGCGGUAAUACGUAAGGUCCGAGCGUUGUCCGGAAUCAUUGGGCGUAAAGGGGACGUAGGCGGGUAAGCAAGUUAGAAGUGAAAUCCUAUAGCUCAACUAUAGUAAGCUUUUAAAACUGCUCAUCUUGAGGUAUGGAAGGGAAAGUGGAAUUCCUAGUGUAGCGGUGAAAUGCGCAGAUAUUAGGAGGAAUACCGGUGGCGAAGGCGACUUUCUGGCCAUAACCUGACGCUGAGGUACGAAAGCGUGGGUAGCAAACAGG